Molecule: transfer RNA, 69 nt
Filed under: Marmota monax (woodchuck)
Lineage: Eukaryota; Metazoa; Chordata; Mammalia; Rodentia; Sciuridae
Description: tRNA.Pro
Rfam family: tRNA (bases 6-62)
About the family: Transfer RNA (tRNA) molecules are approximately 80 nucleotides in length. Their secondary structure includes four short double-helical elements and three loops (D, anti-codon, and T loops).
Source: RNAcentral
GUAUAUAGCUCAUUGGCAGAGUGCUUGCCUAGGAUGCAUGAGACACUGGGUUCGAUUCUCAGCACCACA